CACGCCGUAAACUAAUGCGCGUUAGGUGUAUCGGUGACCACGAGUUACCGAGGUGCCGAAGGGAAACCGUGAAACGUGCCGCCUGGGAAGUACGGUCGCAAGGCUGAAACUUAAAAGGAAAUUGGCGGGGGGAGGCACCACAACAGGUGGAGCCUGCGGUUUAAUUUGGACUCAACGCCGGGAAGCUCACCGGAUAGGACAGCAGAAUGAUUGCCGGGCUGAAGACCCUGCAUGACUAGCUGAGAGGAGGUGCAUGGCGUAGACGUCU
RNAcentral lists this ribosomal RNA (268 nucleotides) under uncultured archaeon. RNAcentral describes it as "partial 16S ribosomal RNA". It matches the Rfam family "Archaeal small subunit ribosomal RNA", at positions 747 to 1009 of the family's 1478-position model. The record is from RNAcentral.